GUGGGGAAUAUUGGACAAUGGGCGCAAGCCUGAUCCAGCCAUGCCGCGUGAGUGAUGAAGGCCUUAGGGUUGUAAAGCUCUUUCACCGAUGAAGAUAAUGACGGUAGUCGGAGAAGAAGCCCCGGCUAACUUCGUGCCAGCAGCCGCGGUAAUACGAAGGGGGCUAGCGUUGUUCGGAUUUACUGGGCGUAAAGCGCACGUAGGCGGUUUGUUAAGUCAGAGGUGAAAUCCCGGAGCUCAACUCCGGAACUGCCUUUGAUACUGGCAAGCUAGAGUCCGGAAGAGGUAAGUGGAACUCCUAGUGUAGAGGUGGAAUUCGUAGAUAUUAGGAAGAACACCAGUGGCGAAGGCGGCUUACUGGUCCGGAACUGACGCUGAGGUGCGAAAGCGUGGGGAGCAAACAGGAUUAGAAACCCGGGUAGUCC
This 425-nucleotide ribosomal RNA is filed under the name uncultured bacterium. RNAcentral describes it as "partial 16S ribosomal RNA". It matches the Rfam family "Bacterial small subunit ribosomal RNA", at positions 354 to 796 of the family's 1533-position model. The record is from RNAcentral.